AGUUUGAUCCUGGCUCAGGACGAACGCUGGCGGCGCGCCUAACACAUGCAAGUCGAACGGAGCUGAGAGGAGCUUGCUUUUCUUAGCUUAGUGGCGAACGGGUGAGUAACGCGUGAGUAACCUGCCCGGGAGUGGGCAACAGUGGAAACGUUUUUAUCCCGCUAACCCCCGUUUCGCAGGGAAUAGGAAAAAGAUUUUUCCCUUCAGGAAGGACUCGGUCCAAUUAGUUAGUUGUGAGUUACGGCCCAACAGAGCGACGUUUGGUCCCGGAUUGGAGGUUGAACGGCCACAUUGGGAAUGAACACCGCCCCAGAUCUCUAGGGGAGCACCAGUGGGGAUUUUGCACAAUGGGGGAAACCCUUGAUGCAGCGACCCCGCGUGGAAGAAGAAGGUUUUCGGAUUGUAAACUCCUGUCGUUAGGGACGAUAAUGACGGUACCUAACAAGAAAGCACCGGCUAACUACGUGCCAGCAGCCGCGGUAAAACGUAGGGUGCAAGCGUUGUCCGGAAUUACUGGGUGUAAAGGGAGCGCAGGCGGACCGGCAAGUUGGAAGUGAAAUCCAUGGGCUCAACCCGUGAAUUGCUUUCAAAACUGCUGGCCUUGAGUAGUGCAGAGGUAGGUGGAAUUCCCGGUGUAGCGGUGGAAUGCGUAGAUAUCGGGAGGAACACCAGUGGCGAAGGCGACCUACUGGGCACCAACUGACGCUGAGGCUCGAAAGCAUGGGUAGCAAACAGGAUUAGAUACCCUGGUAGUCCAUGCCGUAAACGAUGAUUACUAGGUGUUGGAGGAUUGACCCCUUCAGUGCCGCAGUUAACACAAUAAGUAAUCCACCUGGGGAGUACGACCGCAAGGUUGAAACUCAAAGGAAUUGACGGGGGCCCGCACAAGCAGUGGAGUAUGUGGUUUAAUUCGAAGCAACGCGAAGAACCUUACCAGGUCUUGACAUCCGAUGCAUAGUGCAGAGAUGCAUGAAGUCCUUCGGGACAUCGAGACAGGUGGUGCAUGGUUGUCGUCAGCUCGUGUCGUGAGAUGUUGGGUUAAGUCCCGCAACGAGCGCAACCCUUAUUGCCAGUUACUACGAAAGAGGACUCUGGCGAGACUGCCGUUGACAAAACGGAGGAAGGUGGGGAUGACGUCAAAUCAUCAUGCCCUUUAUGACCUGGGCUACACACGUACUACAAUGGCGUUUAACAAAGAGAAGCAAGACCGCGAGGUGGAGCAAAACUCAGAAACAACGUCUCAGUUCAGAUUGCAGGCUGCAACUCGCCUGCAUGAAGUCGGAAUUGCUAGUAAUCGCGGAUCAGCAUGCCGCGGUGAAUACGUUCCCGGGCCUUGCACACACCGCCCGUC
RNAcentral lists this ribosomal RNA (1351 nucleotides) under uncultured bacterium. RNAcentral describes it as "bacterial SSU rRNA". It matches the Rfam family "Bacterial small subunit ribosomal RNA". The record is from RNAcentral.